Molecule: long non-coding RNA, 2527 nt
Organism: Coturnix japonica (Japanese quail)
Lineage: Eukaryota; Metazoa; Chordata; Aves; Galliformes; Phasianidae
Source: RefSeq, a predicted model, not a curated record
AAUCCCACACUUGGGUUUCAGGCUGCGGGGCCGGAGCUGGGAGGUGCUGUAGCAGCAGGACUCCCCAUGGGGAUGCUGCUCAGGACCAGCAGCUGCAGGGCUGGGGCUGCGUCCCCCCCUUGUAAUGACAGGAUAAGAAGGGACGGGGUCAGACAAAGUGCCUGCGCUGGGCAGGGGCUGCCAGCCAAGGGCCGGCUGUGGAGCAGCUGUGCUGCAGCACCGUAACCGCAGCUCUGCAGUGAGAGCCGCGAGCAGCGCUCAGCCCCAACCCCUGCAGCAGAGAGCGGCUCCCGGCUUAGCGAGGCGAAACACAGCUUGGAGAGGAGCAGCGUGCACGGAGCGGGCUGGAAGGCAGCACGGGAAGCGGAGCAGAGCGGGGCAGGGCAGCGCUGCUGUCAGCUCCCAUCGCCCGCAGCUCCGUGAUGCUGCAAGCUUGAGGGUAAAGGAGAUGCAGGGCUGGGAAAUCAAACUAUCCUGCAGAAUUGGGGGCUGUUAGAAGCCAAUAAAGCAGCCGGCUGACCCCGAGGAGCAGCAGAAAGCACCCGGAGCCCCUCCGCCACCGCUGCAGCACGCGCUGCCUGCAUCCAUCCCAAGGCAGCCCGCAGUAACGCAGCAGAAAGACAAGUGUCAUGCUGAAUUGCAUUCUCCUCGCACACAACAGCCGAGCGGCAGCACCUAUAACAUGCAUGGCUCAGCCGUGCCACCACGCCACGCCGGAAUGGAGAGCCUUAAAAUAAGAUUUUUCCCCCUUGCUUUGGAAAGGAAAAGCAGUCGGGAUGAUGUCAUUAACCCUUGGAGGGCAGUGCGUCCCUGCAGCUCCAGAGGAAUUUUAGCACCAGGGAACGACGCUGCCAAAAAGUUCUGGCGGAGGAAAACGUUUCUACAUUAAACUUUUAGUGCUCUCUAAAGUGAAGCUACAAUUGCAUCUGAGCUUGAUCCUUAAUGGGAAGAUAGGCUUGCAGAUAAAGAAGGUCGGGUCCCAGCCCCCCACUCCACAGCACAGUGUGCACCCACAGCCCCUGAGCAGACACAUGAAGGUUGCACAGCAGAACCAACAGCAGCCCCAGCCCAUCACAGCCCCUGCCCAUCUCCGGACACACUUGGGGCCCUGAUGUGUUUCUGGCAGUGAGGGGCCCAGUACUGAACACAGCACUGCAGGUGCACAGCGACCAUCACCUCCUGCUGACUGCACUACUUCUGACACAAGCCAGGAUGCUGCUUGGCUCCUUGGCCACCCUGGCACAGCGCUGGCUCAUGUUCAUGUGACGCUGCAGAUGGAACUGAGCCUAACGCCAUCAACAGGAUGUACAAUUAAUGAUUACAGAUAAAUAAUCCAGCCGAUCACAACUCGAUUCCAAAUCCCUAUUUGGUUUAUUGGUUGGUUUUUCUAUGCGCGGCCACGAGCAUCAGGAAAUCCUUCUUUUCUUUAACACACAAAGCUAUCUGGGGCUGUUACAGGAGGACCCACAGGCCAGCAGCCCCAGACCCACAUGCUGAGCCCCAGGGCUGUGCUGGGCAGUGCAGGACGCUGCAUACAGAUGAACUGAGAUGUAAAGGACGAAAAGCCCUGGUGGCAGCUUUUGGGCCAAAUUCUCACGUGUCAAACUUCCCAACUGCUGCAGAGCAGCUCCAUGGCAUUUCAAAAGAAUUCCUGCACUGUUUUGAAUAGUGCUGACAAUCCUCUCUGUCAAAAUCUGUAAUUUAAAUGCCUUGGAGGAGAGAAGCACAGUGUUCCCCAGGGCACACACUGAUCCUUGGGGCACACACUGCUCCCCAUAGCACACACUGUUAUCCCCAGGGCACACACUGCUCCCCACAUGCAACACACUGCAUCCCCUGCCCCCACAGUGCACCCUGCUGCACCCACAGCCCCAUUUGAAGCCAUACAGCCCCAGUGCCCGGCUCCACGCUGCCCAGAAUACAAGACUGUUCUCCAUGUGACUUCAGAUGUGUCAACAAACCCAAAAUAAUGCUAUGUAAAUAGGUCUAAGUGGUGAGAACAGCAAGAUCCCUUCCCUCAGGCUCGCAGUCAUAGGAAGCUGCUCCAUUUGGACUGAGACACAUUGAAGAUUCCCUCCUGGUGCUGCAGAGCACCUUGAAAGGUCGAUGAUGGCACUGCAGCAGGAUACACGGACUGACCUAUAGAGAAGGGGAAGGCGGCCUGUGCCCGCACCCAACUCCUUAAAGGUGGUGGUACUUUGUAACACGCUCUGAUCUUUAAUAUUCAUAGCUUGCUCCAUUUGCAUAUCAUGCCAUAAAUAGUUGAAGCAGAGGUAAAACACAAAGCGCUCUACUUGCAUUUCUAAUUAUGCCUAAAAUCAAAUGUAAAUCACAACACAGCCAAGACAGAAGAUAUUAAAUUUGCUGCCUCUCUGUUAAAACAUUAGAAAUAAAAUAAGAUAAAAAAAUAAACCCCAAAGCAAUUAUUUUUUAAAGAAGAACAUCCAAAAGGCUUUCUAAGCAGGUGCAGCUGGAUGGCCCUGUUAUAGAAGCAGGGUUACUAUCAACAUCCUGCACCCAAACCUGC